Molecule: ribosomal RNA, 443 nt
Filed under: uncultured bacterium
Lineage: Bacteria
Description: partial 16S ribosomal RNA
Rfam family: Bacterial small subunit ribosomal RNA
Source: RNAcentral
CCUACGGGUGGCUGCAGUGGGGAAUAUUGGGCAAUGGAGGCAACUCUGACCCAGCAACGCCGCGUGAAUGAUGAAGGUCCUCGGAUUGUUAAGCUCCGUGAUGGGGGAUGCAAACACUGACGGUACUCCAAUAGUAAGCCUCGGCUAACUACGAGCCAGCAGCCGCGGUAAUACGUAGGGGGCAAGCGUGAGCCGGAAUGACUGGGUGUAAAGGGUGCGUAGGUGGUUUAGUAAGUUAGCGGUGUAAUUCCGGGGCUCAACCUCGGCGCUGCCGCAAAAACUAUUAGACUAGAGUGCAGGAGAGGUAAGUGGAAUUCCUGGUGUAGCGGUGAAAUGCGUAGAUAUUAGGCAGAACAUCGAGGGCGAAGGCAGCUUACUGGACUAUAACUGACGCUGAGGCACGAAAGCGUGGGGAGCAAACAGGAUUAGAUACCCCAGUAGUC